This 254-nucleotide ribosomal RNA is filed under the name uncultured bacterium. RNAcentral describes it as "partial 16S ribosomal RNA". It matches the Rfam family "Bacterial small subunit ribosomal RNA", at positions 524 to 776 of the family's 1533-position model. The record is from RNAcentral.
GACAGAGGUGCCGAGCGUUAGGCGGAAUCACUGGGCUUAAAGCGCGUGUAGGCGGGACGGCACGUCGGUCGCUGAAAUCCCCCGGCUCAACCGGGGAACGGGCGCCGAUACGACCGCCCUGGAGGGGCGUAGGGGGACCUGGAACUUCCGGUGGAGCGGUGAAAUGCGUUGAGAUCGGAAGGAACGCCCGUGGCGAAAGCGAGGUCCUGGACGCUUACUGACGCUGAGACGCGAAAGCCAGGGGAGCGAACGGG